RNAcentral lists this ribosomal RNA (385 nucleotides) under uncultured bacterium. Its description in RNAcentral is "bacterial SSU rRNA". It matches the Rfam family "Bacterial small subunit ribosomal RNA", at positions 28 to 415 of the family's 1533-position model. The record is from RNAcentral.
GAUGAACGCUAGCGGCAGGCCUAACACAUGCAAGUCGAACGGCAGCGCGGGGGCAACCCUGGCGGCGAGUGGCGAACGGGUGAGUAAUGCAUCGGAACGUAUCCUGUAAUGGGGGAUAACGUAGCGAAAGUUACGCUAAUACCGCAUACGCUCGAGAGAGGAAAGUGGGGGAUCGCAAGACCUCACGUUACAGGAGCGGCCGAUGUCCGAUUAGCUAGUUGGUGGGGUAAAGGCCUACCAAGGCGACGAUCGGUAGCUGGUCUGAGAGGAUGAUCAGCCACACUGGGACUGAGACACGGCCCAGACUCCUACGGGAGGCAGCAGUGGGGAAUUUUGGACAAUGGGCGAAAGCCUGAUCCAGCCAUGCCGCGUGCGGGAAGAAGGC